CAUGAAGUCGGAAUCGCUAGUAAUCGCGGAUCAGCAUGCCGCGGUGAAUACGUUCCCGGGCCUUGUACACACCGCCCGUCACACCAUGAGAGUUUGUAACACCCAAAGCCGGUGGGGUAACCUUUUGGAGCCAGCCGUCUAAGGUGGGACAGAUGAUUGGGUGAAGUCGUAACAAGGUAUC
RNAcentral lists this ribosomal RNA (181 nucleotides) under uncultured bacterium. RNAcentral's name for it is "partial 16S ribosomal RNA". It matches the Rfam family "Bacterial small subunit ribosomal RNA", at positions 1319 to 1500 of the family's 1533-position model. The record is from RNAcentral.